This 450-nucleotide ribosomal RNA is filed under the name uncultured bacterium. RNAcentral's name for it is "partial 16S ribosomal RNA". It matches the Rfam family "Bacterial small subunit ribosomal RNA", at positions 29 to 507 of the family's 1533-position model. The record is from RNAcentral.
AUGCACGCUGGCGGCGUGCCUAACACAUGCAAGUCGAGCGGCAGCGAGGGGUGCUUGCACCCUGUCGGCGAGCGGCGGACGGCUGAGUAACGCGUGGGAACGUGCCCCAAAGUGAGGAAUAACUGCCCGAAAGGGUAGCUAAUACCGCAUAUUAUCUUCGGAUCAAAGGAUUUAUCCGCUUUGGGAGCGGCUCGCGUCGGAUUAGGUAGUUGGUGAGGUAUUGGCUCACCAAGCCGACGAUCCGUAGCUGGUCUGAGAGGAUGACCAGCCAGACUGGAACUGAGACACGGUCCAGACUCCUACGGGAGGCAGCAGUGAGGAAUCUUCCACAAUGGGCGAAAGCCUGAUGGAGCAACGCCGCGUGCAGGACGAAGGCCUUCGGGUUGUAAACUGCUUUUAUAAGUGAGGAAUAUGACGGUAACUUAUGAAUAAGGAUCGGCUAACUACGUG